GGAAUCGCUAGUAAUCGCGGAUCAGAAUGCCGCGGUGAAUACGUUCCCGGGUCUUGUACACACCGCCCGUCACACCAUGGGAGUCGGAAAUGCCCGAAGUCUGUGACCCAACCGCGAGGAGGGAGCAGCCGAAGGCAGGUCGGAUGACUGGGGUGAAGUCGUAACAAGGUACC
Molecule: ribosomal RNA, 173 nt
Filed under: uncultured bacterium
Lineage: Bacteria
Description: partial 16S ribosomal RNA
Rfam family: Bacterial small subunit ribosomal RNA
Source: RNAcentral